Spinacia oleracea (spinach) is the source of this 716-nucleotide long non-coding RNA. RefSeq lists it as uncharacterized. The transcript is spliced from 2 exons. The record is from RefSeq and is a predicted model, not a curated record. NCBI's taxonomy places the organism in Eukaryota, Viridiplantae, Streptophyta, Magnoliopsida, Caryophyllales, Amaranthaceae.
GAAAUCUUCAGGAAAAUCUUCGGCUCUUCAAAAGUUUGUCAGCAAAGAAUAUUCCAGAGAUGAAAUUUAUACGACAUCUUUUCAACUUCUUCAACAUAUAAGACAUCACUCCCCUCAAAGAAUCAUGGAGAUUGAAGGUGAGGAUUGUUAGGUUUUGGGAACAACCGGAUUUCAAGGACCAUACAGUAAUCGGCACUCAUGAAUUGAUUUUGGUGGAUGAAAAGGUAAAUAACUCCAAAAUUCUAAUUUUUUUUGUUUUCUUAUUUUUGUCGAUUUUGUCUUUUUAUGGUUUGUGUAAAUUAUUAUUGUUGAUAUUUUUUUAAUAAUGGCUAAUCUAUAUCUAUAUAAUAUACUAAAAGAGAGGAAAUCAAUGUGGUGAUGACAAAUGUCACUCAUUGAUUCACCUCUCUUUUAAUAUAAAACUAAUUGAGUAGAUAAUAUUUUGUCAUAUUUAAUUUAAUGAAUUUUAUGGUAACAAUUACUAAUAUGGAAAAAUCCAUAAAAAAAUUUACAUAAAGAAUGAUAUAAUUUAGGAAAUUGGUAUAUCUAUAUACAAUUUAGUAUAUAUUUACUACGCAAGUUAGAAAAUUAAACUAAGUUAUAUAACUUAGUUAGUAUAUACUAAGAACAAAAAAUAAUCUCAUCACAAAAAAUAAUCUCAUCGGAAAAAUGAUAUUUUACAAGUUAUAUAAUUUAGUAAGUUAGUAUAUACUAAG